CCAUUUGGUGUAGUCUUCCCAAGACGGUGGCACAAUUCGUUCUUUUUCCAAAAAGGACUUCUAACCAGAAUGGGCGGAGUUCGUUGCAAAGCCACCAGCAAUGGGCAAAGGAGCCUAUUUGACCACAGCCCUUCCAGCAUAAUGGUGUGAGGCCUUUGAUAUUAUCGAGCCCCGGAUCACCGGUUUUAGGGCAUCCCAGAC
Gekko japonicus is the source of this 201-nucleotide long non-coding RNA. RefSeq lists it as uncharacterized. Lineage: Eukaryota; Metazoa; Chordata; Lepidosauria; Squamata; Gekkonidae. The record is from RefSeq and is a predicted model, not a curated record. The transcript has 3 exons.